Small nuclear RNA from Vicugna pacos (alpaca), 134 nucleotides. RefSeq annotates it as U4 spliceosomal RNA. The record is from RefSeq and is a predicted model, not a curated record. Lineage: Eukaryota; Metazoa; Chordata; Mammalia; Artiodactyla; Camelidae.
AGCUUUGCGCAGUGGCAGUAUCGUAGCCAAUGAGGCUUAUCCGAGGCGCGAUUAUUGCUAAUUGAAAUCUCCCUUUCUCUUCUAGGUGAUUCUGAGCGAGGAAGUCCCCCAAUUUUUCACUUCGCUAUAUUGAG